RNAcentral lists this ribosomal RNA (1408 nucleotides) under bioreactor sludge metagenome. RNAcentral's name for it is "bacterial LSU rRNA". It matches the Rfam family "Bacterial large subunit ribosomal RNA", at positions 1102 to 2523 of the family's 2925-position model. The record is from RNAcentral.
UGGCUUAGAAGCAGCCACUCAUUCAAAGAGUGCGUAAUAGCUCACUAGUCGAGUGACCCUGCGCCGAAAAUUUCCGGGGCUAAAACUGUGUACCGAAGCUAUGGAUGUGUAGAAAUAUGCGUGGUAGGGGAGCUUACUGUUGUAGGACGAAGCACGAUCGGAAGGACGUGUGGACGAAGCAGUAGUGAGAAUGCCGGAAUAAGUAGCGAAAGUAAAGUGAGAAUCUUUACCGUCGAAAACCUAAGGUUUCCUGGGGAAGGUUCGUCCGCCCAGGGUAAGUCGGGACCUAAGCUGAGGCCUAACGGCGUAAGCGAUGGACAACAGGUUGAAAUUCCUGUACUACCGACACACGUUAUAAGAGAAGUGGGGACGCAGGAGGAUAAGUUAAGCGAGCUGCAGGAAGUGCUCGUCCAAGAGAAGUAGAUAGUCUGGUAGGCAAAUCCGCCGGAUGUUUCGAAGGCUCGAUGGGGAGGGAAAAAUAAGUACCGAAGUAACUGAUUCCACACUGACGAGAAAAGCCACUAUCAAGUGUGAAGGUACCCGUACCGCAAACCGACACAGGUAGGUGAGGAGAGAAUCCUAAGACGAGCGGGAGAAGCGUUGUUAAGGAACUCGGCAAAAUGACCCCGUAAGUUCGCAAGAAGGGGUGCCUCGCGAGAGGCCGCAGAGAAUAGGCCCAAGCAACUGUUUAGCAAAAACACAGGUCUCCGCUAAAUCGAAAGAUGAAGUAUAGGGGCUGACGCCUGCCCGGUGCUGGAAGGUCACGGGGAUCUGUUAGCGCAAGCGAAGCAGUGAACUUAAGCCCCAGUAAACGGCGGCCGUAACUAUAACGGUCCUAAGGUAGCGAAAUUCCUUGUCAGGUAAGUUCUGACCCGCACGAAUGGCGUAAUGACUUGGGCACUGUCUCAACAACGUACCCGGUGAAAUUGUAGUACUUGUGAAGAUGCAAGUUACCCGCGACUAGACGGAAAGACCCCAUGGAGCUUCACUGUAGAUUGCUACUGGGAUUCGAUAUUGUCUGUACAGGAUAGGUGGGAGGCUGAGAACGUAUGGCGUCAGUUGUACGGGAGCCAACGUUGGGAUACCACUCUGACAGUAUUGGGUCUCUAACUGGUGGCCGUGAUCCGGUCACAGGACAAUGGCAGUCGGGCAGUUUGACUGGGGCGGUCGCCUCCAAAAAGGUAACGGAGGCGUCCAAAGGUUACCUCAGUACGGUUGGAAACCGUACGACGAGUGCAAAGGCAUAAGGUAGCCUGACUGCGAGACAUACAGGUCGAGCAGAGACGAAAGUCGGGCUUAGUGAUCCGGCGGUAGAAAGUGGAAUUGCCGUCGCUCAACGGAUAAAAGUUACCCUGGGGAUAACAGGCUGAUCUCCCCCAAGAGUUCACAUCGACGGGGAGGUUUGGCA